UCUAGUUUAAUCAAGCAGGUCCAGAUCGAUUCUCAUUCGAUCUGAAUUACUUUCCUCAUAAAAUUUUUUUUAUUUUGAUUGUCAGAAGAUCGAUCUCCAUAGGUAUUACUAUUUCUAUCCUGAAAGUAAGUUUAAAAGGCAUUUCUCUAGUUAGUCUCUGUGGUGUAGUUCAGUAGGCCCAGAGAACACUAUAAAGUUCAUCUAUCCAAAGUUUCUUUGCUUCAGUGAGCCUUAU
RNAcentral lists this long non-coding RNA (235 nucleotides) under Elaeis guineensis (African oil palm). RNAcentral's name for it is "long non-coding RNA (EGUI_LNC012448)". The record is from RNAcentral. Lineage: Eukaryota; Viridiplantae; Streptophyta; Magnoliopsida; Arecales; Arecaceae.